CUUUAUUGGAGAGUUUGAUCCUGGCUCAGGAUGAACGCUGGCGGCGUGCCUAAUACAUGCAAGUCGAGCGAAUGGAUUGAGAGCUUGCUCUCAAGAAGUUAGCGGCGGACGGGUGAGUAAC
RNAcentral lists this ribosomal RNA (121 nucleotides) under Bacillus wiedmannii. RNAcentral's name for it is "16S rRNA. Bacterial SSU". It matches the Rfam family "Bacterial small subunit ribosomal RNA", at positions 1 to 114 of the family's 1533-position model. The record is from RNAcentral. Lineage: Bacteria; Bacillati; Bacillota; Bacilli; Caryophanales; Bacillaceae.